AUUGAACGCUGGCGGCAGGCUUAACACAUGCAAGUCGAGCGGAAACGAUGAUAGCUUGCUAUCAGGCGUCGAGCGGCGGACGGGUGAGUAAUACUUAGGAAUCUACCUAGUAGUGGGGGAUAGCACGGGGAAACUCGUAUUAAUACCGCAUACGACCUACGAGAGAAAGGGGGCAGUUUACUGCUCUCGCUAUUAGAUGAGCCUAAGUCGGAUUAGCUAGAUGGUGGGGUAAAGGCCUACCAUGGCGACGAUCUGUAGCUGGUCUGAGAGGAUGAUCAGCCACACCGGGACUGAGACACGGCCCGGACUCCUACGGGAGGCAGCAGUGGGGAAUAUUGGACAAUGGGGGAAACCCUGAUCCAGCCAUGCCGCGUGUGUGAAGAAGGCCUUUUGGUUGUAAAGCACUUUAAGCAGUGAAGAAGACUCCGUGGUUAAUACCCACGGACGAUGACAUUAGCUGCAGAAUAAGCACCGGCUAACUCUGUGCCAGCAGCCGCGGUAAUACAGAGGGUGCAAGCGUUAAUCGGAAAUACUGGGCGUAAAGGGAGCGUAGGUGGCUCUAUAAGUCAGAUGUGAAAUCCCCGGGCUUAACCUGGGAACUGCAUCUGAAACUGUAGAGCUAGAGUAUGUGAGAGGAAGGUAGAAUUCCAGGUGUAGCGGUGAAAUGCGUAGAGAUCUGGAGGAAUACCGAUGGCGAAGGCAGCCUUCUGGCAUAAUACUGACACUGAGGCUCGAAAGCGUGGGUAGCAAACAGGAUUAGAUACCCUGGUAGUCCACGCCGUAAACGAUGUCUACUAGUCGUUGGGUCCCUUGAGGACUUAGUGACGCAGCUAACGCAAUAAGUAGACCGCCUGGGGAGUACGGCCGCAAGGUUAAAACUCAAAUGAAUUGACGGGGGCCCGCACAAGCGGUGGAGCAUGUGGUUUAAUUCGAUGCAACGCGAAGAACCUUACCUGGUCUUGACAUAUCUAGAAUCCUGCAGAGAUGCGGGAGUGCCUUCGGGAAUUAGAAUACAGGUGCUGCAUGGCUGUCGUCAGCUCGUGUCGUGAGAUGUUGGGUUAAGUCCCGCAACGAGCGCAACCCUUGUCCUUAGUUACCAGCGGGUUAAGCCGGGAACUCUAAGGAUACUGCCAGUGACAAACUGGAGGAAGGCGGGGACGACGUCAAGUCAUCAUGGCCCUUACGACCAGGGCUACACACGUGCUACAAUGGUAGGUACAGAGGGCAGCUACACAGCGAUGUGAUGCGAAUCUCAAAAAGCCUAUCGUAGUCCAGAUUGGAGUCUGCAACUCGACUCCAUGAAGUAGGAAUCGCUAGUAAUCGCGGAUCAGAAUGCCGCGGUGAAUACGUUCCCGGGCCU
This 1360-nucleotide ribosomal RNA is filed under the name uncultured bacterium. Its description in RNAcentral is "bacterial SSU rRNA". It matches the Rfam family "Bacterial small subunit ribosomal RNA", at positions 28 to 1381 of the family's 1533-position model. The record is from RNAcentral.